Amborella trichopoda is the source of this 2116-nucleotide long non-coding RNA. RefSeq lists it as uncharacterized. NCBI's taxonomy places the organism in Eukaryota, Viridiplantae, Streptophyta, Magnoliopsida, Amborellales, Amborellaceae. The record is from RefSeq and is a predicted model, not a curated record.
UCCUAAUAAUGGGCAUCUCUUGGGUGAAUCUCGAAAAAUGUCAGCGUUUUUCUUCAGAGUGUCUGUGCCGUACAUUAAUGGCACAGCCUGGAGAUUCAAAAUAUCGAAUGCAUACUCCUAAGCCCUGAUUUAUUAUUCUUAUAGAUGGACAGGACGUGCAGCACACUCACCUUUCUCGCUCUUGUCGCAUCGGUGAAGGAGUCUCAGACUCUGAGGUUUUCUCCAUUGCACAGAGCACCUCUUCCUCUUCUCUCUGUCCGCAUUGCCUUAGGCCCUUAUACAACCAAAAGAGGUUAAUAUUGGAAUUCGGCCGGUGGCAGUUGUGCUGUGGUCUCCAAAUACCCUGGUGACUGAGCCCAGGUCUUGAAUCACAAAUUACUGGGAAACACUAGUUGAACGCUACACCCUCUUAUCAUUCAAUCAUGGUCAAUCAUGUGCUGCUGAAGUUGUUACCUGAAAAUUCAAAGAGAGUAGCCAUGGCCAAAAGAGUAGAGGAGACAUUAGAUGAAAAUGCAAAGAGCGUAAUGGCAGAGAGGAAGAGAUUGGCUGAGGUUCCUUCCCUUGAAAUCCCUAUUCUUGAAGAACUGUCGUGGCACAAAAAGAAGAGGUCAGUAUUGAAAGGAGCAAAUAAGAUGUUGGAUGAGGUUCCUACCCCCGAAUUUCUCAUUCAUGAAGGUCUUUCAUACCCAAAAAGGAAGAAAUCGGUAUCCAAAGGUGGAAGGAAGAGAGAGUUUCUUAUUUGUGAACAGGAGAUCACAUGAAGUUUCAGGGACCGAGCAAGACCUUCAUAUAUGUGAUGAUAUUAUGGAACGAAUUUUAUUGGGACUCCCUGUAAAAGCCCUUGGCAGGUUCAGAUGUGUUUCUAAGCGACGGAAUGAAGUCCUCUCCUCUCUCUCUCCUUUGCAUGAACCCAUUAUCUCGCACCUCCCUCAGCAUCCACUCCCUUUGCUCUUGUUGUUGCCAAACCAAAUUCUACACCCUGUCUAUGCUAUACCCUCUCUCUCUCUCUUACCUUCUAAACUCAACCGAAACCCUCCCAUCAUUUGAGUUCCAGUCGUCCAGUCUGGCGUGCAGCAAUGGUAUGCUAUGUGAUUACAAGUUCCCCUUUGGCUUUGACAUUUUUAACCCUAUCACCCUUGAUUCUAUGGGCAUGGAGAAGACUUUCGAGUUCAAGAGCAAUUUCAUCUUUGGAUUCUAUUACAACCCUGUGAGCACCGCUUUUUAUAUAUUGAAAUACACUCUUUUGGUCCCUAUACUUAUCAAACAUUGGAAUGUGGACCCUAUACACAUCAAACACUGGAAAGUUCCUGGCCGCCCUCAACACCCUCUCACUCCCUUCUACAGCAUUCUCACGUGCGUGCUCGGAAAAUUCUACAAUGUGUUCUGUGCGGAAGAAUAUGGAGGGUAGAGCAUCGAGGUUUUCGACACAGCAAGAGAGGAGUGGGAGGAAAGCCUUCCAUUGCCCACAGGAAUCCCACGCCCGGAUAACUCCGAUUUUGGGUUUAGAUUCCUUGAAUGGGAGGGGCAGAUAUGUUUUGUUCAUGGCUGGUUUCAUGAGGGAGAUAGAAAAGAAUGCGGAAUGGGAAUAUGGGCUUUGACGUGAAAGGAGAAAAGAUGGGAGAACGUGAGAGAAAUGGGCCUUGGGAAAAAGUUGAAAAGUUUUUACAAGGUUUUGUGGAUCUCAAAACGCCGAUGAUAAUUCACGGCGAGUUUCUCUUUAUUUGCCAGCAAGGGACCAUCUUUUCAUUCGAAUUGCAGAGCGGACAGAAAAGUGAAUUGACGUUGAACACCAAAAAGUAUGGGUAUUCACACAGGCUGCUUCUUUACAAACCCUCACUCCUUAACGUCAACACACCGCCUCUAAUGUGCUAGCAACAUUUCUUCUCCCUUCCCUCCGAGGGAUCCAUCUCUAAUUGACAAAUUUAUUGUUAGCCGUCUGUGCUUUGUUUCUUCUAAUUUUAUAUUUAUUCUAGAGGGAUCCAUAUAAAGUUAUUGGUAUGGGUUUUGCUUUCUGUUUUCUCAUUUUCUUUUAUUUGUUUGUCCUUUAGAGGGGUCUGAUUCCAGUUGAUUUUUUGAUGAAGCUGUUUGUAUGGUUAUGUAUUUCCUUAUUAUUUUC